GGGCUUGACAUCCCACGAACCUGCCUGAAAGGGCGGGGUGCCCGCAAGGGAGCGCGGAGACAGGUGGUGCAUGGCUGUCGUCAGCUCGUGUCGUGAGAUGUUGGGUUAAGUCCCGCAACGAGCGCAACCCUCACCCCUAGUUGCCACCGGGUCAUGCCGAGCACUCAAGGGGAACUGCCAGCGUCAAGCUGGAGGAAGGCGGGGAUGACGUCAAGUCAUCAUGCCCCUUACGCCCUGGGCUACACACGUGCUACAAUGGCCGGUACAAAGGGAUGCGAGACCGCGAGGUGGAGCUAAUCCCAAAAAGCUGGUCUAAGUUCAAAUUGCAGUCUGCAACUCGACUGCAUGAAGGAGGAAUCGCUAGUAAUCGCGCAUCAGCCCGGCGCGGUGAAUACGUUCCCGGGCCUUGUACACACCGCCCGUCACACCACGAAAGCUGUCUGUACUCGAAGUCGCUGAG
RNAcentral lists this ribosomal RNA (460 nucleotides) under NC10 bacterium enrichment culture clone MSGLR 2-5. RNAcentral's name for it is "bacterial SSU rRNA". It matches the Rfam family "Bacterial small subunit ribosomal RNA", at positions 977 to 1434 of the family's 1533-position model. Lineage: Bacteria; Methylomirabilota (SeqCode). The record is from RNAcentral.